GAUGAACGCUAGCGACAGGCUUAACACAUGCAAGUCGAGGGGCAGCACAGGUAGCAAUACCGGGUGGCGACCGGCGCACGGGUGAGUAACGCGUAUGCAACUUACCUAUCAGAGGGGGAUAACCCGGCGAAAGUCGGACUAAUACCGCAUGAAGCAGGGGUCCCGCAUGGGGAUAUUUGCUAAAGAUUCAUCGCUGAUAGAUAGGCAUGCGUUCCAUUAGGCAGUUGGCGGGGUAACGGCCCACCAAACCGACGAUGGAUAGGGGUUCUGAGAGGAAGGUCCCCCACAGUGGUACUGAGACACGGACCAAACUCCUACGGGAGGCAGCAGUGAGGAAUAUUGGUCAAUGGCCGAGAGGCUGAACCAGCCAAGUCGCGUGAGGGAUGAAGGUUCUAUGGAUCGUAAACCUCUUUUAUAAGGGAAUAAAGUGCGGGACGUGUCCCGUUUUGUAUGUACCUUAUGAAUAAGGAUCGGCUAACUCCGUG
RNAcentral lists this ribosomal RNA (485 nucleotides) under uncultured bacterium. Its description in RNAcentral is "partial 16S ribosomal RNA". It matches the Rfam family "Bacterial small subunit ribosomal RNA", at positions 28 to 507 of the family's 1533-position model. The record is from RNAcentral.